This 247-nucleotide ribosomal RNA is filed under the name uncultured bacterium. Its description in RNAcentral is "partial 16S ribosomal RNA". It matches the Rfam family "Bacterial small subunit ribosomal RNA", at positions 103 to 334 of the family's 1533-position model. The record is from RNAcentral.
CGGGUGAGUAACACGUGGGUAACCUACCCUCGGGCGGGGAACAACUUCGGGAAACCGGGGCUAAUUCCGCAUGAUAUCUCAGACUCAUAAGCGUUUGAGAUCAAAGCUGGGGAUCCUUCGGGACCUGGCACCUGAGGAGGGGCCCGCGGACGAUUAGCUUGUUGGUGAGGUAAUGGCUCACCAAGGCUACGAUCGAUAGCCGGCCUGAGAGGGCGGACGGCCACACUGGGACUGAGACACGGCCCAG